Molecule: ribosomal RNA, 519 nt
Filed under: uncultured bacterium
Lineage: Bacteria
Description: bacterial SSU rRNA
Rfam family: Bacterial small subunit ribosomal RNA
Source: RNAcentral
AAUAGAUACCCUGGUAGUCCAUGCCGUAAACGUUGGGAACUAGAUGUGGGGACCAUCCCACGGUCUCCGUGUCGCAGCUAACGCAUUAAGUUCCCCGCCUGGGGAGUACGGCCGCAAGGCUAAAACUCAAAGGAAUCGACGGGGGCCCGCACAAGCGGCGGAGCAUGCGGAUUAAUUCGAUGCAACGCGAAGAACCUUACCAAGGCUUGACAUAUACGAGAACGCUGCAGAAAUGUAGAACUCUUUGGACACCCGUAUACAGGUGGUGCAUGGUUGUCGUCAGCUCGUGUCGUGAGAUGUUGGGUUAAGUCCCGCAACGAGCGCAACCCUCGUCGUAUGUUGCCAGCACGUAAUGGUGGGAACUCAUAUGAGACUGCCGGGGUCAACUCGGAGGAAGUGGGGAUGAGGUCAAAUCACCAUGCCCCUUAUGUCUUGGGCUUCACGCAUGCUACAAUGGCCGGUACAAAGGGCUGCGAUACCGCAAGGUGAGCGAAUCCCAAAAGCCGGUCUCAGUUCGGA